Molecule: long non-coding RNA, 304 nt
Filed under: Homo sapiens (human)
Lineage: Eukaryota; Metazoa; Chordata; Mammalia; Primates; Hominidae
Description: HSALNT0236091
Source: RNAcentral
CACACGCAGCACAGAGCCCUCCUGCAGCCCCUCGACGCUGCGCAGCUCCGAGAAGUGGUCCAGCACGUUGCCAUCCAGGUGCAGUGAGAAGCAGGUGCGGUGACACGUGUCCUCCCGGUCCAUGAGCACCUGGUGAAUCUCCUGCACCAUCUCCUGGGGGGACACCUGCAGGGAGAAGGGCUCGAUCCCAGGGGCGAGGAUCUUCACAGAAAAGCCCGUGUCCUGAAUGACAAUGACUUCCUGGCCGGUGGUCUCAUCUCCCGGGCCGGCCUCGUCAAGCCCAUUUUCCCUGGGUGGCUCGGCC